This 520-nucleotide ribosomal RNA is filed under the name uncultured bacterium. Its description in RNAcentral is "bacterial SSU rRNA". It matches the Rfam family "Bacterial small subunit ribosomal RNA", at positions 8 to 526 of the family's 1533-position model. The record is from RNAcentral.
AGAGUUUGAUCCUGGCUCAGGACGAACGCUGGCGGCGUGCCUAACACAUGCAAGUCGAGCGAAGCUUUCAAAGCGGAUCCCUUCGGGGUGAAACUUUGACUGUCUUAGCGGCGGACGGGUGAGUAACGCGUGAGAAACCUGCCUUUCACAAAGGGAUAGCCUCGGGAAACUGGGAUUAAUACCUUAUGAUACUUCAUUGCCACAUGACAUAGAAGUUAAAGCGCAAAGCGGUGAAAGAUGGUCUCGCGUCCCAUUAGUUAGUUGGUGAGGUAACGGCUCACCAAGACCGCGAUGGGUAGCCGGCCUGAGAGGGUGAACGGCCACACUGGAACUGAGACACGGUCCAGACUCCUACGGGAGGCAGCAGUGGGGAAUAUUGCACAAUGGAGGAAACUCUGAUGCAGCGACGCCGCGUGAACGAUGAAGGCUUUCGAGUCGUAAAGUUCUGUCCUAGGGGACGAUAAUGACGGACCCUAGGAGGAAGCCCCGGCUAACUACGUGCCAGCAGCCGCGGUAAUAC